Molecule: ribosomal RNA, 883 nt
Filed under: uncultured euryarchaeote
Lineage: Archaea; Methanobacteriati; Methanobacteriota
Description: bacterial SSU rRNA
Rfam family: Archaeal small subunit ribosomal RNA
Source: RNAcentral
CGGCGGCCACCGCUAUARSARWUCGAUUAAGACAUGCGAGUCGAGAGUCUUCGGGACUCGGCGGACUGCUCAGUAACACGUGGAUAACAUGCCCUUUAGGAGGGGGAUAAUCUCGAGAAAUUGAGGAUAAUACCCCAUAGGCCAUGAAUGCUGGAAUGCUUUAUGGCCCAAAGCUCCGGCGCCUAAGGAUUGGUCUGCGGCCUAUCAGGUUGUAGUGGGUGUAACGGACCCACUAGCCUAUGACGGGUAUGGGCCUUGAGAGAGGGAGCCCAGAGAUGGACUCUGAGACACGAGUCCAGGCCCUACGGGGCGCAGCAGUCGCGAAACCUUCACACUGGGGGAAACCCUGAUGAGGGAAUUCCUAGUGCCUGCAUUUUUUGUAGGCUUUUAUCUAGUGUAGAUAGCUAGAAGAAUAAGGGCCGGGUAAGACGGGUGCCAGCCGCCGCGGUAAUACCCGCGGCCCAAGUGGUGGUCGAUAUUAUUGAGUCUAAAACGUCCGUAGCCGGUUCAGUAAAUCUUUGGGUAAAUCGGCCAGCUUAACUGACCGAAUUCCGAAGAGACUGCUGAACUUGGGACCGGGAGAGGCCAGAGGUACUUCUGGGGUAGGGGUAAAAUCCUGUAAUCCUAGAAGGACCACCGGUGGCGAAGGCGUCUGGCUAGAACGGAUCCGACGGUGAGGGACGAAGCCCUGGGGCGCAAACGGGAUUAGAUACCCCGGUAGUCCAGGGUGUAAACGCUGCAGGCUUGGUGUUGGGGGUCCUUCGGGGGCGCCCAGUGCCGGAGAGAAGUUGUUAAGCCUGCUACUUGGGGAGUACGUCCGCAAGGAUGAAACUUAAAGGAAUUGGCGGGGGAGCACSGCAWCSGGAGGAGCGUGCGGUUAAUG